RNAcentral lists this ribosomal RNA (501 nucleotides) under Veillonella dispar. RNAcentral describes it as "bacterial SSU rRNA". It matches the Rfam family "Bacterial small subunit ribosomal RNA", at positions 28 to 498 of the family's 1533-position model. The record is from RNAcentral. Lineage: Bacteria; Bacillati; Bacillota; Negativicutes; Veillonellales; Veillonellaceae.
GACGAACGCUGGCGGCGUGCUUAACACAUGCAAGUCGAACGAAGAGCGAUGGAAGCUUGCUUCUAUCAAUCUUAGUGGCGAACGGGUGAGUAACGCGUAAUCAACCUGCCCUUCAGAGGGGGACAACAGUUGGAAACGACUUGCUAAUACCGCAUACGAUCUAACCUCGGCAUCGAGGAUAGAUGAAAGGUGGCCUCUAUUUAUAAGCUAUCACUGAAGGAGGGGAUUGCGUCUGAUUAGCUAGUUGGAGGGGCAACGGCCCACCAAGGCGAUGAUCAGUAGCCGGUCUGAGAGGAUGAACGGCCACAUUGGGACUGAGACACGGCCCAGACUCCUACGGGAGGCAGCAGUGGGGAAUCUUCCGCAAUGGACGAAAGUCUGACGGAGCAACGCCGCGUGAGUGAUGACGGCCUUCGGGUUGUAAAGCUCUGUUAAUCGGGACGAAAGGCCUUCUUGCGAAUAGUUAGAAGGAUUGACGGUACCGGAAUAGAAAGCCCGGCU